AACGAACGCUGGCGGCAUGCCUAACACAUGCAAGUCGAACGAGAACUCCGGGCCUAGUGGCGCACGGGUGCGUACCGCGUGGGAACUAGCAUUUGGGUUAGGUAUCAUUCAGAGAAAUUUGAGCUAAUAACGGUUGGUCUAUUACGGCCUAAGAUGUAUCGCCUUUUGAUGGGGCCGGGUUGGAUUAGCUAGUUGGUGGGGUACAGGCCUACCAAGGCGACGAUCCAUAGCUGGUCUGAGAGGAUGAUCAGCCACGCUGGGACUGAGACACGGCCCAGACUCCGACGGGAGGCAGGAGUGGGGAAUAUUGGACAAUGGGCGAAAGCCUGACCCAGCAACGCCGCGGGAGUGAUGAAGGCCUUAGGGUUGUAAAGCUCUUUUACCCGAGAUGAUAAUGACAGUAGCGGGAGAAUAAGCUCCGGCUAACUCCGUG
This 433-nucleotide ribosomal RNA is filed under the name uncultured bacterium. RNAcentral's name for it is "partial 16S ribosomal RNA". It matches the Rfam family "Bacterial small subunit ribosomal RNA", at positions 29 to 507 of the family's 1533-position model. The record is from RNAcentral.